This 207-nucleotide ribosomal RNA is filed under the name uncultured bacterium. RNAcentral's name for it is "partial 16S ribosomal RNA". It matches the Rfam family "Bacterial small subunit ribosomal RNA", at positions 568 to 774 of the family's 1533-position model. The record is from RNAcentral.
UGCGCAGGCGGUUAUAUAAGACAGAUGUGAAAUCCCCGGGCUCAACCUGGGAACUGCAUUUGUGACUGUAUAGCUAGAGUACGGCAGAGGGGGAUGGAAUUCCGCGUGUAGCAGUGAAAUGCGUAGAUAUGCGGAGGAACACCGAUGGCGAAGGCAAUCCCCUGGGCCUGCACUGACGCUCAUGCACGAAAGCGUGGGGAGCAAACA